UACAUAUCUGAAGGUGCUGUUUAUGAAACUA
RNAcentral lists this non-coding RNA (31 nucleotides) under Homo sapiens (human). Lineage: Eukaryota; Metazoa; Chordata; Mammalia; Primates; Hominidae. The record is from RNAcentral.